Molecule: ribosomal RNA, 253 nt
Filed under: uncultured bacterium
Lineage: Bacteria
Description: partial 16S ribosomal RNA
Rfam family: Bacterial small subunit ribosomal RNA
Source: RNAcentral
UACGUAGGGGGCAAGCGUUGUCCGGAUUUAUUGGGCGUAAAGAGCGUGUAGGCGGCUUUACAGGUCCGUUGUGAAAACUCGAGGCUCAACCUCGAGACGCCGGUGGAAACCGUAAAGCUAGAGUCCGGAAGAGGAGAGUGGAAUUCCUGGUGUAGCGGUGAAAUGCGCAGAUAUCAGGAAGAACACCCGUGGCGAAAGCGGCUCUCUGGAACGGUACUGACGCUGAGACGCGAAGCGUGGGGAGCGAAGCAGG